CAUAAAACCUCAGGAAAGAAGACACCACACGUCUGCUUGUCUUCACGCAGGUGGUUUUCAAUUAGCUGAUGACCACUGAUUGCUUCCUCCUCCUCUUCUUAUUUAAGCUUCCUCCAGACAAAAGUUCCGUGAUGUUACUUUGAAGAGAAGCUGCACGAGCCGUGGAACGAAAAAAAAAAAGCCGCGAAAAAAAGUAUCGCUGCUUAACUACUGAAACUGUUCCGGGAGGAGGGAACUUGUGUCGGUAAUGCACCAACCGGCAUAAAACCUCAACAAAGAACGAGGGAACUUUAAAAAAAGAAGAGAGAAAAAAAGAAAACUACCGCCGCGUGACGUCAGACGCCGAAAAGGUGCUCCUGUAUAAAAACGCAGCAAGGCGCUCCAGGGUGGCGUGUUCGACCUGGUCCAGAUUGGUGGCCCGUCCAGAAUGGAACAACCUGCUUCCUGCUCACGGAGACCUGGUCGGACCCGCCAUAUACAAAAGCCUGAGGCUGUCAAAAAAAGAUUGAUCUUCAUGAAGAUCGUCAAAUAGUAGGCGUCAUGAUUUAAUUCUGGGUGGCCGCUGUGUCCCCACUCUUUCUUGGCCGCUGUG
Molecule: long non-coding RNA, 592 nt
Organism: Solea solea (common sole)
Lineage: Eukaryota; Metazoa; Chordata; Actinopteri; Pleuronectiformes; Soleidae
Exons: 3
Source: RefSeq, a predicted model, not a curated record